Streptomyces decoyicus is the source of this 120-nucleotide non-coding RNA. The record is from Rfam. Lineage: Bacteria; Bacillati; Actinomycetota; Actinomycetes; Kitasatosporales; Streptomycetaceae.
GCUGUCCACGGCGUGGAACGGGGAACACGUGUACCGAACCGGCAGCUACGCUGGCCGGGUGCGCCCUCUGCCGGAGGGUGCAAAGCCGACAGCCGUCGCAACCACGGGAGCAUCUCCAUG